RNAcentral lists this ribosomal RNA (492 nucleotides) under uncultured bacterium. Its description in RNAcentral is "bacterial SSU rRNA". It matches the Rfam family "Bacterial small subunit ribosomal RNA", at positions 903 to 1397 of the family's 1533-position model. The record is from RNAcentral.
AAAGGAAUAGACGGGGACCCGCACAAGCGGUGGAGCAUGUGGUUUAAUUCGACGCAACGCGAAGAACCUUACCUGGACUAGAAUGCGAGGGAAUGUUGGGUAACGCCAACAGCCGGUUUACCGGCCCGAAGCAAGGUGCUGCAUGGCUGUCGUCAGCUCGUGUCGUGAGAUGUUGGGUUAAGUCCCGCAACGAGCGCAACCCUUAUCAACAGUUGCCAUCAUUAAGUUGGGAACUCUGUUGAGACUGCCGUUGAUAAAACGGAGGAAGGUGGGGAUGAUGUCAAGUCAUCAUGGCCUUUAUGUUCAGGGCUACACACGUGCUACAAUGGACGGUACAGAACGUUGCUAUCCCGCGAGGGGGAGCUAAUCGCGAAAACCGUUCUCAGUUCGGAUUGGAGUCUGCAACUCGACUCCAUGAAGUUGGAAUCGCUAGUAAUCGCAAAUCAGCAUGUUGCGGUGAAUACGUUCCCGGGUCUUGUACACACCGCCCGU